This 252-nucleotide ribosomal RNA is filed under the name uncultured Glomus. RNAcentral's name for it is "partial 18S ribosomal RNA". It matches the Rfam family "Eukaryotic small subunit ribosomal RNA", at positions 624 to 886 of the family's 1831-position model. Lineage: Eukaryota; Fungi; Glomeromycota; Glomeromycetes; Glomerales; Glomeraceae. The record is from RNAcentral.
AAGCUCGUAGUUGAAUUUCGGGGUUCUACCGUUGGUCGGGCAAUAGUCUGUACUGGCGUGUGGAAUUUCUACCUUCUGGGGAAUCAUCAUGUUAAUUUAGCGUGGUGGGAAACCAAAUCCUUUACCUUGAAAAAAUUAGCGUGUUCAAAGCAGGCUUACAUCUGAAUACAUUAGCAUGGAAUAUUAAAAUAGGAUGGUGGUCCUGUUUUGUUGGGUUCUGAAUCACCAUAAUGAUUAAUAGGGAUAGUUGGG